Molecule: ribosomal RNA, 588 nt
Filed under: uncultured bacterium
Lineage: Bacteria
Description: bacterial SSU rRNA
Rfam family: Bacterial small subunit ribosomal RNA
Source: RNAcentral
UUGGUGGGGUAAUGGCCUACCAAAGCAACGAUCAGUAGCCGGCCUGAGAGGGUGAACGGCCACACUGGAACUGAGACACGGUCCAGACUCCUACGGGAGGCAGCAGUGGGGAAUAUUGCACAAUGGGGGAAACCCUGAUGCAGCAACGCCGCGUGAGCGAUGAAGGCUUUCGAGUCGUAAAGCUCUGUCCUAAGGGAAGAUAAUGACGGUACCUUAGGAGGAAGCCCCGGCUAACUACGUGCCAGCAGCCGCGGUAAUACGUAGGGGGCAAGCGUUAUCCGGAAUUAUUGGGCGUAAAGGGUGCGUAGGCGGCCUUAUGGGUCAGAGGUUAAAUACUACGGCUUAACCGUAGUAUGCCUUUGAAACUAUAGGGCUUGAGUGCAGGAGAGGAGAGUGGAAUUCCUAGUGUAGCGGUGAAAUGCGUAGAUAUUAGGAGGAAUACCAGUGGCGAAGGCGACUCUCUGGACUGCAACUGACGCUAAGGCACGAAAGCGUGGGUAGCGAACAGGAUUAGAUACCCUGGUAGUCCACGCUGUAAACGAUGAGUGCUAGGUGUUGGGGGUCAAACCUCGGUGCCGCAGUUAACGC